CGGCACGUAGCGCAGCCUGGUAGCGCACCGUCAUGGGGGUGUCGUUCCUUAAAAGGUUCAAAUCCUCUCGUGCCGACCA
RNAcentral lists this transfer RNA (79 nucleotides) under Klebsiella michiganensis. RNAcentral's name for it is "tRNA-Sec". It matches the Rfam family "tRNA". From Rfam's summary of the family: Transfer RNA (tRNA) molecules are approximately 80 nucleotides in length. Their secondary structure includes four short double-helical elements and three loops (D, anti-codon, and T loops). The record is from RNAcentral. Lineage: Bacteria; Pseudomonadati; Pseudomonadota; Gammaproteobacteria; Enterobacterales; Enterobacteriaceae.